GUGGUUUUUAGCUUGUUAUCGGCGGUCGGCUGUGUACAACUUCCGCCUAACAUGCCUAUUCUGUCGUCCCUCAAGGCUUGGAUUGGCUGAACAAGUUGUGGGUUUCCUGUAUUGCUUUCCUAACAUAUGGUAUUGAUUUGGCUUAUGUUAGUUCUUUGUCAUUCGUCAUGUGUGACGUCAGAUGAACCAUAAACACGUCUCUUUGAACCACAUCAUUAAUAAUGCUUGUGUUGAUGUAGUGGCGCAUUGAGCCUUGCUAGGUCUCUUCGAUGAAGUGCUUGAUGUGGGCAUGGGUUUCUCGGGAUCCUUGUUAUGUCCUUUAUUAGUCUAUAUGCUUUGUAAAUGACUGCUUGACACGUGUUGGCUUGAAAAAGUGUGUUGGGCUUUGUCUAAAAGGAAUGUUACCUGGU
RNAcentral lists this unclassified non-coding RNA (410 nucleotides) under Cavalcantia glomerata. RNAcentral describes it as "partial contains external transcribed spacer and 18S ribosomal RNA". The record is from RNAcentral. Lineage: Eukaryota; Viridiplantae; Streptophyta; Magnoliopsida; Asterales; Asteraceae.